Molecule: ribosomal RNA, 496 nt
Filed under: uncultured bacterium
Lineage: Bacteria
Description: bacterial SSU rRNA
Rfam family: Bacterial small subunit ribosomal RNA
Source: RNAcentral
CCUGGCUCAGAUUGAACGCUGGCGGCAUGCUUUACACAUGCAAGUCGAACGGCAGCGGGGGGCUUCGGCCUGCCGGCGAGUGGCGAACGGGUGAGUAAUGCAUCGGAACGUGCCCAUGUCGUGGGGGAUAACGUAGCGAAAGCUACGCUAAUACCGCAUACGCCCCUGAGGGGGAAAGCGGGGGAUUCUUCGGAACCUCGCGCGAUUGGAGCGGCCGAUGUCGGAUUAGCUAGUAGGUGAGGUAAAGGCUCACCUAGGCGACGAUCCGUAGCGGGUCUGAGAGGAUGAUCCGCCACACUGGGACUGAGACACGGCCCAGACUCCUACGGGAGGCAGCAGUGGGGAAUUUUGGACAAUGGGCGCAAGCCUGAUCCAGCCAUGCCGCGUGAGUGAAGAAGGCCUUCGGGUUGUAAAGCUCUUUCGGCCGGGAAGAAAUCGUGGUCUCUAACAUAGGCCAUGGAUGACGGUACCGGACUAAGAAGCACCGGCUAACUAC